This is a long non-coding RNA of Vitis riparia (riverbank grape), 284 nucleotides long. RefSeq lists it as uncharacterized. The transcript is spliced from 3 exons. The record is from RefSeq and is a predicted model, not a curated record. Lineage: Eukaryota; Viridiplantae; Streptophyta; Magnoliopsida; Vitales; Vitaceae.
GGAAGAUGCACAUGAAGACCCUGGUAAUCCAGUAAAUGAAGUUGAAGAAGAGACUACUGAUGAAAUUAUAGCAGAAUAUAAUGCAGCGGAGAGACAAAUUCACCAAUUGCUUCGAACAAUGAGAUGAGCAAUUGAUAAACUAGCAAAUCGGCAGAAUACAAAUAAAACCCCAUCAUCUUCUCAUCAAAGCAGAAGUCAUAAUCAACCUGAUAUCAAUGAUUCUUUCCCAUCACCACCACAUGCUUAUGGAUCGCCACUGAAUGAUCGUUUUGCUCAUGGUGAAG